RNAcentral lists this ribosomal RNA (253 nucleotides) under uncultured bacterium. RNAcentral's name for it is "partial 16S ribosomal RNA". It matches the Rfam family "Bacterial small subunit ribosomal RNA", at positions 524 to 776 of the family's 1533-position model. The record is from RNAcentral.
UACGUAGGGGGCAAGCGUUGUCCGGAUUCAUUGCGCGUAAAGAGCGUGUAGGCGGCCAGGUAGGUCGGUUGUGAAAACUGGAGGCUCAACCUUCAGAGGUCGACCGAAACCAUCUGGCUAGAGUCCGGGAGAGGAGAGUGGAAUUCCUGGUGUAGCGGUGAAAUGCGCAGAUAUCAGGAAGAACACCCGUGGCGAAAGCGGCUCUCUGGAACGGUACUGACGCUGAGACGCGAAAGCGUGGGGAGCGAACAGG